RNAcentral lists this ribosomal RNA (387 nucleotides) under uncultured bacterium. Its description in RNAcentral is "bacterial SSU rRNA". It matches the Rfam family "Bacterial small subunit ribosomal RNA", at positions 42 to 424 of the family's 1533-position model. The record is from RNAcentral.
UCAGGCCUAACACAUGCAAGUCGAACGGUAACAGGAAGAAGCUUAGCUUCUUUGCUGACGAGUGGCGGACGGGUGAGUAAUGUCUGGGAAACUGCCUGAUGGAGGGGGAUAACUACUGGAAACGGUAGCUAAUACCGCAUAACGUCGCAAGACCAAAGAGGGGGACCUUCGGGCCUCUUGCCAUCAGAUGUGCCCAGAUGGGAUUAGCUAGUAGGUGGGGUAACGGCUCACCUAGGCGACGAUCCCUAGCUGGUCUGAGAGGAUGACCAGCCACACUGGAACUGAGACACGGUCCAGACUCCUACGGGAGGCAGCAGUGGGGAAUAUUGCACAAUGGGCGCAAGCCUGAUGCAGCCAUGCCGCGUGUAUGAAGAAGGCCUUCGGGUU